AGGUCGCGGAAGGUUGCAAUGCGUAUUUUGAAUCGUAUUGCACUUUCCCCGGCCCAU
RNAcentral lists this microRNA precursor (57 nucleotides) under Drosophila ananassae. RNAcentral describes it as "Dan-Mir-92-P8_pre stem-loop". Lineage: Eukaryota; Metazoa; Arthropoda; Insecta; Diptera; Drosophilidae. The record is from RNAcentral.